This 487-nucleotide ribosomal RNA is filed under the name uncultured bacterium. Its description in RNAcentral is "bacterial SSU rRNA". It matches the Rfam family "Bacterial small subunit ribosomal RNA", at positions 28 to 507 of the family's 1533-position model. The record is from RNAcentral.
GACGAACGCUGGCGGCGUGGAUUAGGCAUGCAAGUCGAACGGUAUCAUCCUUUCGGGGAUGAGAGAGUGGCGAACGGGUGAGUAACACGCAGGUGAUCCACCCUCAAGACGGGGACAACCCAGGGAAACUUGGGCUAAUACCGGAUGUGAGCUAUCGCGAGAUAGUUUGAAAGGUGGCUUCGGCUGCCGCUUGAGGAUGAGCCUGCGUCCUAUUAGCUAGUUGGUGAGGUAACGGCUCACCGAGGCAGUGAUAGGUAGGCGGCCUUAACGGGUGGUCGCCCAUACUGGGAUUGAGAUACGGCCCAGACUCCUACGGGAGGCAGCAGUCGAGAAUAGUCUACAAUGGUCGAAAGACUGAUAGUGCGACGCCGCGUGAACGAAGAAGCCCUUCGGGUGUAAAGUUCUUUUAUAUGUGAGCAGUGACAUCUAUAUUAAUAGUAAUGGUGGAGAGAUAUUAGCAUAUGAAUAAGCAACGGCUAACUCCGUG